GCUGGCGGCAGGCUUAACACAUGCAAGUCGAACGGUAACAGGAAAUAGCUUGCUAUUUUGCUGACGAGUGGCGGACGGGUGAGUAAUGCUUGGGAAUUUGCCUGAUGGUGGGGGACAACAGUUGGAAACGACUGCUAAUACCGCAUAAUGUCUACGGACCAAAGGUGGCCUCUAUUUAUAUGCUAUCGCUAUCAGAUGAGCCCAAGUGGGAUUAGCUAGUUGGUAAGGUAAUGGCUUACCAAGGCGACGAUCCCUAGCUGGUCUUAGAGGAUGACCAGCCACACUGGAACUGAGACACGGUCCAGACUCCUACGGGAGGCAGCAGUGGGGAAUAUUGCACAAUGGGGGAAAACCCUGAUGCAGCCAUGCCGCGUGUGUGAAGAAGGCUUUCGGGUUGUAAAGCACUUUCAGCGAGGAGGAAAGGGUGUUGCUUAAUACGUAACACCUGUGACGUUACUCGCAGAAGAAGCACCGGCUAACUCCGUG
This 486-nucleotide ribosomal RNA is filed under the name uncultured bacterium. RNAcentral describes it as "bacterial SSU rRNA". It matches the Rfam family "Bacterial small subunit ribosomal RNA", at positions 35 to 507 of the family's 1533-position model. The record is from RNAcentral.